Non-coding RNA from Dermacentor andersoni, 976 nucleotides. The record is from RefSeq and is a predicted model, not a curated record. NCBI's taxonomy places the organism in Eukaryota, Metazoa, Arthropoda, Arachnida, Ixodida, Ixodidae.
UAUGGGCAGCAUUGUAAUGUUUUUUAAACAGUGCUUGAUGACUUUGUGUUUUCACAGUUGCCCCCAAUAAAGCCAGAAUAUUAACUCUUGCGCUCGACGUAACGUUACGGCCUUCAAGAAAAGUAAUAUCACAAGCGUAGGAUUGAACGAUAGAAUGUAUUACUGAUACAUACUGGCAUAUUACAACGCUCAAAGUAUAUUCUAUAUUUGCUGAAUAAUCACUGUGAAAUGUAGUUUGCAAUCAUGAAUUACUGCUGGUCAAUCACAGAAAACAUUUCCUUUGUCUAAGGAAAAGAAAACUUUAAUAAUGACACUUGGCAAAUGAUCUGCGAGGAUGAAAAUCAAUGACCAAAUAACUAUGACAGCAUGCUGAACAACGUUAGCGAAAUUGCAGCAGUAGGCUGGUGAGAAACACAAUAGCAUUCAUGAGCUUAUUUCGGCCGACAACCAUACCUUCACGGACCAUAAGAGCAUACAUAAUAGGCAUUAAAAUUCGUCACAUAUCGCAUUUUAUAAGUAGCGCUCCAUUUUCUGUUGUGAAUUGUAAGACCUAAUUAUAUUCAAAAGGGGAUACGUGUGCAUUAAAAUAACGUGAUUACAUCAUUCUUUCACCAGAGCCGGUGUUUCUUUCUGCAUCAAGGCGUACCAGCGUAUAGGAAUUUCUGGUUGUAAUGGCAGGACGCAUCACAGCAUUUCUUUUCAUGUGUGCCGUAUUCGCCUACGGCGUCAUGGUUAUUGCAGCCAGUCAAGAUGCUACAGCACGAGGAAGUUCAGUGCCGGCGAGUGCUGCCAAUGAGGAUGCAAGAAUCUCAUCAGCUGCGAUCGGAAGCUUGGCGGGUGGAGGCCUCGGCUGAAACUCACGUGAUUGGCUGCACCGAGAGAGCAGCGCGAGAGAACCGACUUUUGUCGCGUGCUCGCUUUAUUCUUUAGCGAGCGCAUUGUUCACCGCUCAAAUGGAAUAAAUGUCGCAACAUCA